CAGCCGCCGCGGGAAUACGUAGGUGGCAAGCGUUGUCCGGAAUUAUUGGGCGUAAAGGGCUCGCAGGCGGUUUCUUAAGUCUGAUGUGAAAGCCCCCGGCUCAACCGGGGAGGGUCAUUGGAAACUGGGAAACUUGAGUGCAGAAGAGGGGAGUGGAAUUCCACGUGUAGCGGUGAAAUGCGUAGAGAUGUGGAGGAACACCAGUGGCGAAGGCGACUCUCUGGUCUGUAACUGACGCUGAGGAGCGAAAGCGUGGGGAGCGAACAGGAUUAGAUACCCCGGUAGUCCCUGUCUCUUAUAC
This 301-nucleotide ribosomal RNA is filed under the name uncultured bacterium. Its description in RNAcentral is "partial 16S ribosomal RNA". It matches the Rfam family "Bacterial small subunit ribosomal RNA", at positions 509 to 807 of the family's 1533-position model. The record is from RNAcentral.